AUGGCGCUGCACCAUCUUGGCCUCCUCCUGCUCGCCGUGCUGCUCCCGGCGGCGGCCAUCGGCGCCGACCCGGACGCCGUGCAGGACUUCUGCGUGCCGGACCCCGGGCGCGGCCGGCCCGUGGAGCUCAACCUCAUCCGCUCCUACCCGUGCAGGAGCCCGGCCAACCUCACCGCGGGCGACUUCGCCUUCUCGGGCGUGCGCGCGGCGGGCAACUUCUCGGCCGACACGGGGUUCGCGGGGGUGUCCGUCACGCCGGCGCAGUUCCCGGGCCUGCACACCCUCGGCAUGUCCUUCGCGCGCGCCGACCUCUCGGCCGCCGGCGGCGUCAACCCGCCGCACUACCACCCGCGCGCCACCGAGACGGCGCUCGUCCUCGCCGGCCGCGUCUACGCCGGCUUCGUCGACACCGCCGGCCGCCUCUUCGCCAAGGUGCUCGUGGAGGGGGAGGUCAUGGUGUUCCCCCGGGGCAUGGUGCACUUCCAGCUCAACGUCGGCGACCAGCCCGCCACCAUCUACGGCACCUUCAACAGCGAGAACCCCGGGAUCGUGCGCAUCCCGGCCACCGUGUUCGGGUCCGGGAUCAGGGACGCCGUCCUUGAGAGGGCCUUCGGGCUCUCCCCCGAGGAGCUCCGGCGGAUCGAGAAGAGGUUCGGCGUGCCCAAGAAGGCCGAGCUGGAGGACUAG
RNAcentral lists this ribosomal RNA (687 nucleotides) under Triticum aestivum (bread wheat). RNAcentral describes it as "partial small subunit ribosomal RNA". Lineage: Eukaryota; Viridiplantae; Streptophyta; Magnoliopsida; Poales; Poaceae. The record is from RNAcentral.